GAGUUUGAUCAUGGCUCAGAUUGAACGCUGGCGGCAUGCCUUACACAUGCAAGUCAACGGCAGCACGGGAGCUUGCUCCUGGGUGGCGAGUGGCGAACGGGUGAGUAAUGCAUCGGAACGUAUCCUGGAGUGGGGGAUAACGUAGCGAAAGUUACGCUAAUACCGCAUAUUCUGUGAGCAGGAAAGCGGGGGACCUUCGGGCCUCGCGCUCUUGGAGCGGCCGAUGUCGGAUUAGCUAGUUGGUGAGGUAAAGGCUCACCAAGGCGACGAUCCGUAGCAGGUCUGAGAGGAUGAUCUGCCACACUGGAACUGAGACACGGUCCAGACUCCUACGGGAGGCAGCAGUGGGGAAUUUUGGACAAGUGGGGGACCAACCCGUGACUCCAGCCAUGCCGCGUGAGU
This 402-nucleotide ribosomal RNA is filed under the name bacterium enrichment culture clone ALO1_GLFRUDD03FJ0TD. Its description in RNAcentral is "bacterial SSU rRNA". It matches the Rfam family "Bacterial small subunit ribosomal RNA", at positions 9 to 406 of the family's 1533-position model. The record is from RNAcentral.